Rhopilema esculentum is the source of this 16178-nucleotide non-coding RNA. NCBI's taxonomy places the organism in Eukaryota, Metazoa, Cnidaria, Scyphozoa, Rhizostomeae, Rhizostomatidae. The record is from RefSeq and is a predicted model, not a curated record.
AUAAUAUAUUCCAAAGCCUUGUUACAAGGGAGGGAAGAGCACCAGAGGCACAUAUCUCCAACAAAGAGGUUAAGAGCUUCGGGGGAGUGCCCCUUACGUAGGAUAUCUUUCCCUCUCUUUCUGUGCCCCUCCUAAUUACUAGCGCCUCAAACAAUUGGUCACUUUUUGGUUACCAAACAAGUAAUUUCAGAUCUUAAAAAACUGCAUAGAAAUUUCCUAGGUAUCAGAGCCACAAAAUUUUGAGUGCGUAAAUAGAAAACCAAGCGGAACGUCUUUCUUUUUUCUGUCAGACAGACACUGCUACGCUUCUCUAAUUCUGAGUCCUGUUGCCGCACUCAAAUUUAUGUGGCCCUGGUAGUCAGAGUAGUAGUAGAAAUGCUGCCUGAUUGUAGUCACUAGAGGUUACUAAGUAUACAUAAAUUAAUAAGUGUAAUGCUAUAUGACAGCAAAUGCAAAAGGCACAUUAUGACUGAUGUUGCUUACAAUGAGUUACUUCUUUUCCCUCAUAGAUUUUGCUGUUAUCUGAUUUCAGGUAACUUACAAGAGGUAAAUGUGGCUGCAAGGUUUUUGGAAAGAUGAAUCAAGUCCCAUAUGAUAUACCAGGAACACUAGUGUAAAAAAUCGCAGGAUUAUUUUAUGCAAUCAUUAAUCUUUUAGUCUUCGCUGUAAAAAAAUAAAGGAACAUUUGGAUGACAAGGAAAUCGUUUGCGGGGGAUCAGGAUUUUUUGUCGGUGUGGAUAUAAAUUAUGAAAAUAUUAAAAAUUAGACAUUUAAAAGUUUACAGUAGUCGAUUCAUCAAAAGUUAAAAAGUUCGUCAGAUUAUAUCCAUUGCUCUAAUUUGAAAAUGGAAACCGGGGUUGCUUGAGUAGAUGCUUUCUCAAUGCAUGGACUUUUUUAUUAUUCAGAACUGGUUGUUUCUUCCAAUAAUUUUAAAGCAAAGAUGAGCACAUUCAGUGGGAAGAAAUCAAAUGUUAAAAUAAUUUUGUGAGUUAAAUUCAAAAGUUAGUUCCUUUUGGAUUCGCGAAUCAAUUGAACACAUUUAUUUCUUGAUUUAAACAUAACCGUGUAUCAGAUUAAUUAUUUAUCAACACUUCGCAGAUGCCUUUCUAUCAGACCAUCUAAUAGAAUGUGUGAGAAGGAAGAACAUCUAAUAGAAGUUUGUAAUUUUCUGAUCAAUGAAAUGUUUUGAUAUUUACUUCCCAAAACAUCUUUUAACAAUUGACUAUUCACACAUUCAACCUAUUCACAUGGUAGCCUAUUUUAGUCAUGAUAUUUAUCAUAUUUAAUAAGAUCGAAGAUAAGAUAAGAUAAGAUAAGAUCAAGAACGGGGGUGAAGGAUGUCAUCGAAAAAGUGAUUGAAGCCAAAGGCAAGUGGGCAGGACAUGUAGCACGAAUGAAGAACCACGAAUGGGCUAAGAAAACGACAGAAUGGACUCUGUGGGACAGGAAGAGAGGAAAGGGAAGACCAAAGAAAAGAUGGAGAGAUGAGAUCGAGCAGAAGGCAUGCAGCACGUGGAUCCAGAGUGCUCAAAACCGUGAUGAGUGGAGAAAGAUGUGGAGGCCAUCCGCCAGCAGUGGUGUGAAAGGCUAAUGAUAAUGAUGAUGAUUUAUCAUAUUUAUCAACAUUUACCAAGAAAUACACCAAAUGUUUCAAUUUCAGUGCAUUCUAGAAGCCCUAGUUACUGUUUAUUCAAUUUUUCAAACCAAUAGGUAGACUUUUGAAACCUAUUUAGUUCUUCUUGCAUAUAAAUAAUUGUGAUGGUAAUUCGAUGUCAGCAUUUCCUCUGUGCCUUUACUGUUUCAUUACAACAUUUGAUUUGAACAAGGUAUCUUUUUGUAAUUUUGUAUUAUAUUAUACAUGUUACUUGCAGAAAAAUGUCUAUGUUUCUUGUUUUUUUUCUUUUUUUUUCUUUUUAUUUAUAAUUAAGUUAAAUUUCACUUAGGCCCAAGAUGAGUUGGACUUUAAGAAACCCCACUUAGAAUCAGAUUCAAGCGUAAACAUAAACAUAAAGAGCGUAAACGCUGUAGGGUAAAAAGUACCACAGAGUGGUUCGCAAGAGUCAAGUUCUAGAGGACUGUAUAUAUUCAGAAUAAAUGUAAGAUAAAUAGUUUGAUAGUUUGACGAACGAGAGAAAUAUGGAAAGAAAUCACCUGGUUGUCUUUAGAAAUACCACAAAAUCAUCAGAAAAACAGUACAGCAAGAAUGAUUCGAAUAAGAUUUAAUCUUCGUGAGAAUGUCAAUAUAACGACGUUUCGCAAGAGUUUUUUCAAAUGAAUGUUUUCAAUAGUGUGUAGAUACGUCUGUGCGCUAGCGUUUAGAUAAUAAUAAUAAAUUCCAAUUUGCCACACCUAUCAAUAUCGUAGCCUCGUUUUCAUGGUUCGCUCACAGGACAACUGCAAAUGAUGUUGCUUUAUGCCAGGAGAUUCUGGUUCUAGAACGAUAUAAAUAUAAAAUGGGUAGUAGAGAGGGGCCAGUGCUGGUAUUCUAUUGCGGAAAACUUGAAUUCCACAAGUCACCACAAAUUUUCUAUAGACCAGAGGGCUGUUAGAAACAGAAGAAAAGACGCUCAGAUAAGAUUGAUUAUCGAAAAGACAAAAAUAAGAAUGAGAAGCAUUUGAUGGAAACGAGGUUAGAACAAAAAGAAAGGGAACUUGAUAUUAAAGAAAAGGCCUUGAGAAUAAAAAAGUCGAAGGGAAUGUCCAACGAAGACGAAUUCAAAAUAAACAUCUUCUAUGUUGUGCUUGACUUGUCUUGGCUGGGAUCUCACUGAGAUUUCAAGAAACAAAAAAUAUUGCCUCAACUUUCAGCUUCUUGUGGCGAUACGUGGAAAUAGAAGAAACUAGGUUUAACAGCACUGUAAAAGAGUUUGCAGCCAACUAUGCUACUGAUGUUUCUCCGGAUCUUCUAGAAAAAAAGAUUCAGCUACGACAUCUCAAUCAAUUAAAGUUUGGAGACGUUUGUUUGAGCCCCUUAGAUCUCCUAAAUAAGCCUGGGAUUAAUGAGUCUCUUUCCAAAUCUCUUCAUCACUUUGAGAACUUUUUGCUGCCUUCCAGUUACUGUUGCGAGUGCAGAAAGAUCCUUCAGCAAACUCAACCUCAUAAAAAAUUGCACGAGGACCACAAUGGGACAAGUUCAGCUUAACAUCUUGGCUUUGCUAUCACUUGAGCGAGACAUUGCUCGAAAAUAGAUUUGCAAGAUGUUAUUGAUAUGUUUGCUGAAAGAAAAGCCUUACUCUCAGACAGUUAAAGACAUUAAAGCUACCUUGCCUGUUAACCUAUUUUGUUUACAUAAUGGGUGGGUGGGCCUCCUGGCAGACAAUCUCAUUCUUUUCAAAACGCCUUCAACCAGCUGUAGUCAAAUACAGAACCUUUGGCCGCGAACUACUGGCAAUUUAUCUCUCCAUACGCCACUACCUUGAGGGACGUCAAUUCUAUGUCUUAACUGACCACAAACCGUUAACCCAUGCCUUGUCAUCUUCACCAGAUCGCUACUCACAGCGAGAAACACGUCAUCUUGAUUAUGUCUCACUGUUCACCAACAACAUUCGUCAUAUCCAGGGAUCCAACAAUCCAGUAGCUGAUGCUUUAUCCCACAUGGAAUCAAUGCUAUACUGUUUCGUGUGCGACUUGGCCCUUGAAUGGAUUGAAUUAUAUUUUCAUAAUAAUUGGACUUUAAUGAGGACUUUCUGGACAUUUAUGGAUUGGUUGAUUUACUAUUGUUAUUCUGUUGCAUUGGAAGUAUUUUGUUGAUUCCAUUAAGAUACAUCGCGUUCGAAAUUGGAAUUAUUUUUCGCGCGUUUUAACUCUUUGCUCACGCCAUUUUUAUGUAACAACAUUUGAGUCCUGAAAAUUUUUUUUGCACGUAAUUCAAGGUAUGUUUAUUUUUUCGAAUAAAUUUGUUCUCUGAGAUAUUAUAGAGCAUUCAUUAUAUUCCUACUUUGGAAGGUAUGUUGUAACUAAAUCUAAAAGAUUUAUAUUGUCUUUUUUUGACGGAAUUUUGCAUUUUCUCAUACUUUUAAAUGGCUUUGGCCACCAUUUUUGUGUUACUUAAUAAAAAAAUUUUCCAGGCGAAUUUGCAAUUUCACCAAAUGUUUUAGAAAAUUAGAGCUCUUUGUGUGCAAAGUUGUAUAAAUAGUUGAAAAAUUUGACUCCUUGUAAUACAUUGUAGCGAAAUUUCAGAAAGAAGAUAUUACGAAAAAACCAUGGAAGUUGCAAGUCAAGAAGAACGGCCAGAAACCGUCACAGUAUGUUUUAAAAAUGAAAAAAGGUUAUUAUUUGCUUACUUCAUAAUACUAAAUAUAUACAAGUAUUUUCCUUUCAAAUAUUUGUAACUUACAUUAAAAAUUAAUGACUUAUAUACAGACUUUGCUUACAAUAAAUUUCAUGUAGUUGAUGGUCAAUCUUUGCAUUGGGAAUUUCGUUUCAAAUUUUACAGUAUUUAUUAGAUAAAAAAAUUUUUACUGUUGUAUUGUAAAACUUAAUAGUCACAUUCUUAUUCUCUUAGGAAAUACCAUUCGAAAAAAAUUGUAAACAUGAGAAGAACUGUGGCGAAAAAUUUCGAUAUAAAAGAUAUCAAGGGGAUUAUAUUAUUGAAUAAAGAGAAAAAGAAGCUCAAGGAACUUAGGUAUUUAUCUUCUCACAAUUGUAAAUCCUACUGUUGCACAGUAAAAAUUUGUUCAUUUUUCAAUUUAUAUGCUGCGAAUAUAUCAUUCUUUAAAUUAUUGGAAUUAUUUGAAGAUGGUAUAUUUCAUUUCUGAUUGUUAAUAAAUCUUUUAAUAUUUUAAUAUAAUGUACAGGCCAAUAUAUUCAAUUUUUAUUUCUCUAAUUCUCUUUCAGACCAGGGAUGACUAUUAUUAUCAGAAUCAUUAAGAAGAAAAGAAAAGAGCAGCAGCGGAGGGAAUUUCCUUUUUAUAGAAAGGAAUUUCCCUCCUUUUGUAAUAAUUUUUAUUCGGGAACUUUUCCGAAUAUGACUGUUAAUAAUAAUAAAUAGUUUUGUUCUUUUUAAAUAUGUUCCGUUGUUAAAUAUGUAAUAGUUUUGUUGUUUUAAAUGUUCCGCUGUUUGUUUGUUUCUUUUCAUAUUUUAAAUUAUGAAAUUUCAAAAUGAAAGAAAAAAACACAAAUUUUCUAUUUAGACAUUUAUAUUGAUAGAAUGGAAAAAACUUUAAAUUGUCGUUUUCUUUAAAAUUAUAUGACCAACAUUCCUUCAUAUUCUGCAUGUUAGUUUUAUUCAAUCUUCAUACUUGCAUAUCAGUAUAAAUUUAGGGUUUAUUUUUGGCUGUUUGAGAUGUUGAUAGAAUGGAAAAAACAAAAACAUUACCUGCCUGUUUAUGCUCAAAAUAUAACUUAUCUGACAAAAAGUUCUUGAUUAUUUGAAUAUUAAUUUCAUUCACUCUUCAUAGAUGUCCGUAUCAGUUUGAAUUUAAUGUUUCUAUUUAUAUGUUAUAUUUCUGUUUAGACUUUUUGUAUGUUGAAAUUUUGAAUUGUUGUGUUUAAAUAAUUAUAGAGAAUUUUAAAACAAUCCUUUUUUGCUCUUUCUGAUUCUAACUUCUUACACACAAUAUAAUUCUCUAACUGAAUUAACUAGACAAGUUUGGGUCCUGAUUAGAAUUUGCAGUUAUUUAUAAAGUAAAUAAAUUUGCAAAAAUUUCCAAUUUUAAGUUAUGCAUAUAAUGAAAUAGAAGAUUGGUCGCGGUUUCCAAUACAGAGGUAGCUGUUUAAAAAGGCAUUGCCGUCCAUCUUGUGAUUUAGUUUCAUAGCUUUAUUGUCAUAACUAACAAAUAAUAUAGAGUAGCUUUAGGAAGUCCGACCCUCCAUUUUGUGUUGCAAUUUCUAGGCAUUAUUGUCAUAACUCUUAGACGAUAUAGAGUAUGUUAGGGGCCAAAGGUUCAUUUUGAAGCUUUUUGCAAGGGGCAUCUUUUGGGGUGAUUAAUUUUCAGAUUGGGCGUGGCUGUCAUGUCAUAGUGACGUCACAGUCUUCAGUUUAAAUGAAUUUUGGAAAAUUAACUAAUGAUUGAUUUUGCUCGCCUUGCUAAAGAACAACAAGAAGACCCAGAACUUCCAUCUUUGCACAGUACAUCAUCUCUUUAUCUGAAAGAUGUUCCAUUGCCUUUUUCCUGGUACCAUCCUCUGUGACACUUUCACUGCUUCACCAAGACUGUAUGUUCCAACAUCUUUCCGCCAAAUUGUCUUCGACAGCCACCAUUCUCUGUCUCAUCAAGGUAUUGGUGCUACUCAACACCUGAUUACAUAACGUUUUGUCUAGCCCGGCAUCAACGAAGACAUUCCUGAGAGGACCCCUUCCUGUCAAAAGUGCCAACAACAAAAAAUUCAUUGCCACACCACUACUCCGCUUGGAACUUUUCUCACACCUGAUGCAAGCUUUGACCACCUAGACAUCGACAUCGUUGGCCCACUUCCACCGUCACAAGGAUACAAAUACCUGCUCACCAUAAUCAAUUGUUUCACUCGCUGGCCACAAGCCAUUCCACUCAUUGUUAUCACAGCUGAAUCAAUUGCCCCUGCUCUCCUUUCAAAUUGGAUUUCUUCCUUUGGUGUUCUGUCUACGAUAACAACCGACCACGGUGCCCAGUUGGAAUCUUCCCUCUUUGCCAAACUUACAUCUUUCCUUGGAAUAGAAUGCAUUCGCACCACUGCAUACCCAUGUGCCAACAGAAUGAUCAAACGCUUUCAUCGUUUCACAUCGCUCACAUCCCAUGUUCCAAAAGAUCUCCAUACCUACACCCAUGUUUUCGUCCGCACCAAUGCUGUUCGCAAGCCACUUGAUCCUCCAUACACCGGGCCAUUUAAUAUUCUUCGUCCCCAUACCAAUCAUUUCACUAUUUUCAAGUAUUCAAAAGAACAAACUGUCAGCGUAGAUCGCUUAAAACCAGCCUACCUUGACACAGACAUACUUCCUCCAAUUGCAGUUAAAAUAGCAACAGCACCUUCUUCCGCUCCAUCUGCUCCAAUUACUACUCCUUCACAUCAUCACCAAGCCCAACAACUCGCUCUGGAAAAAGACUUGAAUAUUGACUUGCUUGCUGUUUAACAAUUUGAACUUCAUAUAUAGAACAUUAUAAUAAUUCUUUUAUUGAUUUUAUCUCUACUUCUUUUAACGAAUGCUUCUCAUUGUUUCCAUUCUAGGGGGGAGCUAUGUAGCGACAAUUGUCAAACAUAACCAUGUCUUCCAUUGUAUCAAUGUCAUUAACACCUUCCAUUGUCUCUGUAACCACAGUAACGUAAUCAACUCUUGUAGCAUCCUCUCGUUUUAUGUGUAUACGCCCUGUAUUGUAGUUAGUUAGUUUUCAUUUUGCUGGAGAAAAGACGCGCAAAGAUUUGUUUUUAUUGUGUCGAUUGCCUAAGGCAGUGUAAACCAAGAAUGAAGAUUAUAAAGAUAAAGAUUCGUGAAAUCAGACAAUUACUAAUUUAUUAAUAGUUUGUUAUUCAUCCACAGCCACAAUUUGACCUAUUAAAAAGACAUCAGCCCUCUAAAACUACAUGCUGUCGCAUCUCAUUCAAGAGUUGCCCACAGAAAGAGAAAGAUAGCUCAGGUUUGAUCUAGAUUCAGGCAAAAACAGCUGGAUCUGCAAAUUACAAUGGCAAAAGCUAUAGAUGUCAAGACUAGAGAAUUGGAUCUAAGUUCAGGGGAGGAGAAGACAUUAACCAAAAGUGAACAGAAAACAAAAAAUUUUGAUGGCUUGCUUUUUCUAAUGAAAGAGAAGAUAAUGGCCUCAUCUCAAAAAGAAAUGAUAAAAAUUUCAACCCUGACACCAAAAUCUUGGUCAAUACGAAAGACUGCUGAAUUUUCCAAUGUAUCAAAUUAUCUAGUUAGAAGUGCAUUUAAAAUAAGAAAAGAGAAGGGUAUCUUAUGGAAGAGGGGAAGAGGGGAAAAUGUUUACCAAAUGAAAUUAUCCAGCUUGUUGAAGACUUUUAUUGUGUUUGUUCAAUUGAUCAGAAUGUAAAGCUGCUACUGAAGGCAGUAGAUUUGGAACAAUAUUAUCAUGAUAUUAUUGAAAUGAUUGUGUGCAACAGAAAAACAGAGAGUGCAUGAUACAUUGGUGUGUUAAUUGUCCAGGAACAAGAUGUUCAAAAGAUUACUUGAUGAGAACAUUUAAAUUCUGGCUUCAGAAAGGUUUCAACUUCAAUUAACUAUUUUGUUAUUUGUAAAUAUGAUCUCCAGUACUGGGUUGGCUUAAUUGAAGAAACGAAUAAAGGGUGAAGUGAAGGUUAGAUUUCUCCAUCCUAAAUGUCCCGCAAGGUCAUAUUUUUGGCCAGAGAGAGAAGAAACUUGCUGGUAACCAGAUGAACAAGUCAUUCAAGAUCUGCAGUUCCUGUCUACGUCCACUGGAAGGCAAUACAAGUUGAGCAAUGACGAUGAAAAGAUGUUGAAACUUCUCAAGAACAUCUAAAAACCUAUUUGUAUCUAAAAACAUUUCAAUUAUUGCUUAGCAUUUAAAUCUUAUUUUAUUAUUCAUCGUAUAGGCUUACAAGUGGCUCUGUUACAAAAUCCUUAUUCUGAUAGCACACAAUUCAUGACUCCAGAAAUUCUGGAUAUAAAUGAGUUGUCCAUAUUUAUGAUAUUUGUCUUACACUCUGAUUCUGAAUUUUCAGGUCAAGAACAAGUUACAAUGCUAAUUAUGUCAAUUUGAAACAUGUCAGCGUCUGUGCACAAAAAACACAAUGAACCUAUUUUUUAAACAAUGUGUAUCUUUAGUAGCAUACAAAACACCAUCACCAAACUUCAUAGUCUCCUUAAGCAUUAUAUCAACUUGAUUCAUGACAAAUUUCAUCAUGAUCUGUUUGGACCCAUUUUGGCUAUUUGCACUUAAAUAAUGCAAUGUUUGCAAAAAAGUUUUGACCAACUAUUUCAAUUUGAAUCACCUGUAGAAUGAUAACUGUGAGGUUUACAGAAUUUUGCAUUUGAUAGUUGGAAUCUCCAUAGCAAGUUCCAUCAGAUUGCGUAAUUUUAUCAGUAUCUAAAAUAUAGUACUUGAUAGGAGACCAUUAUUCUACAGCCAUUUCUUGUAAAAAAUGGGCAGUGGCUUUCUUUGCAUAAGGGUGUGGUCAUCAAUAUGUAACAUCUCAUAACUCGGAAACAAUACAAGGUACUGAGCUGAAAUUAUCUGUGUAUUUUAAAAGUACUUUAAAAGGGACUACCUGCCUAAAGUUAUGAAUCAAUCUAAGUACAUGGGUAUCAUAUCUGUGUUGAUUAGACGUGGAAUACCCCCAUUAUUAGAAAAUCACUAAAAUAUACCUAGAGGGUGGUGAUUUUUCACGCCAAAUAAAUGUUGGGCACUGCUGGGUCUCUUCUCUCUUUGGGGUUGAUUCAAGAGAAUACUCAUUUCCAACCCUCCUUCUUUGCUAAUAGUACACCAUCUCAACGAGACCACAAUCUUUUGUCAUUCUCAGGAAAUUUUGGUUGUUGCAUUUAGAGACCGUAGAUUAUUUCUGGCAAACGCUGUCUACAUCAUUUUAUUGUAAUUGGAAGUAGUCAAGCUUCGAUAAUAUAGAUAUUGCAAUUUCUUGAGCAAUACCACAAUAAGUUUUCAAGAACAAGUAAGAGGGAAUGGAUAUACUUGUUGCAUUAACUGAAGAUAAUACAGGUUUAUCAGGAGCAUUCUGGUAAAAUUCUGGCAAAACAGGUAUAAUUCUUGUAAAAUGACUGUGUAGCAUCAAUUUCAUCAAGGUGCGGUAACUAUGGCAUUUUAUAGAUUGUUGUGAAAUAAGAUGUUAUGAAUUCAAUAGCAAAAUAGAACCGUAUGAGCGUCAAUUAGAAUUAAGUACUUGUGCAGCUGGAAAUUUCUUAUUCACGGUGUCCAAGAGACCACUGAAGCUGGCUUCAGCUCUUUUCAUGAUGCAGUGGCUUGCCACAUCAUUGGUACAAACCAACAGUACCACACAGGAUGGGCUUUUGUCCUGUGGAAAUAUCACAUCUUCGAUCUACAAUAGUUAAAAGUUUAUUUUUUAUACUCACAGUUUAUUUUAAAAGUUUAUUUUAUUUUUUAUAUAACAGUUUAUUUUACUCACUGGAAAAGAACAUCUACUUCGACAAAGAAAGAAAAUAAAGUGUUGCUGUAGUAGGACUGUACACUACGUCACAUCGUUCUAACCUCGCUUUCACAUUAUAUAGCCUUUGUUCAAUUAUAAAUGAUCAGUCAGUUUAUAUUCUGGCUAUGGGUUGCAUGUUAUUUCUGUCUUGCUCUUCAUUCUAAAGACUAUUCAAAGUAAUAGGUACAACUAGACCUAUUAUAUUGCUUGGGGGGAGGAGGGCGAAGCCAACUUAUAUUUAUGUUAUAGUUAUUUUUGAGGCAGCCCAAUUUGUAUAAACAUAAUUUUGAUGACUCAAAUGAUCAUGUGAUUUAUCGCAAAAUUCAUCACAUAAUUGUCUAAAAUCAUCUUCAUUUUUAAAUUAUAUCUAUGCGUCUUUUGUUUGUCAGCAGCAACAAAACUUUCCAAAACAUAUUUAAGUAUUUGAAAUCAAUUCGAUUUUGUUUAUUGAAAUAAAUCCACACCAACAUACCUAAUUGGGAACAUACCGAUAAAAACAUCCAGAAGUGGCAUUGAUGUACAAGUCAUAUUAUGAAAACUCUUGAUGUGAGGAAGUUUACCUCCGUCUUAUUUAGAUAUCUUAUAGAACUUUACUGAAUUUUUUUAAUAGAAAGUGAACAAGAGAGGAAGAAGCGUGGACUCAGAUCGAUUUUGUAUUUUGAGAAAGUUAGAGUUUAAAAUGAAAAGUGAGAUUGCUUUGUUUCGAAAGAAAAUAUCUGAAUUCGAAUUUGUUCUUUGGAUAUCUGCCUAAUUUUUUGACACUGACAAUGAAAAAAUCACUAAGAACACUUUUUUUACCAACAUUUGAGCUAGAAACAUACAUUAGUUCUUGUGAAAAUGCAAAAAGCAGUACUCUUGUCAGGUAAGCACAACCUUUUUUAACAUUUUUAGCAUCCGCUUCUUGUUUUCUUUCCACAUAGGAAACACUUUUGUCUAUCCUGUAUGUGAACUGGCCAGUGCUCCUUUCCACCAAAACCACCAACCACCAAAAAGGGUUGCUCAAGGUCCUUGCAUAUAUGGAGCUUUUCUUGGUCUUUACACUUUCUACGCCUUCAUUGCUAGUCUAGUCUAGCAAGUCUAGCAAGUAGACUCAAGUCUAGAAAGUCAGUUUCCUUUGCUUUUGGAACUCCCUUGUGCAUUGCAAGGUGUCUUUAUAAAAACAAUUCGUUUAUAAGAAUUUUUUCCAGUAUCCAAGUGCAAAUUGUCAUGAAGCCUUUUCUGCUUCUGUGCUCCAACCUGUAAGCUGCUUAAAACAUAUCAAAUUUACCUUCAAAUCCAAUACUUCUGUUGUAGGUCUCAGCAGUUGAUGAUAUUUCAAUGGGUUUUUUUCACUUCAUGACCAUCUCCUUACUGCAUCAACUGGUUCUGUAUAGGCAUAAUUUGAUACAUACGGGAAAAUUUUGUUGUUGAGCCAACAAAGAGCAGUUAAACCUGAAUUUAGAUCUAAGAGCCAUCAAAAGAGACAUGACAUUCUUUUCAACUCUUUUCAGACUUCAGUUUGGCAUCCUCUCAGUUUCCCCUGAUAAAGAGUUCAAUCUUUCCAAAACUUUGAAUCUUCUGUCUUAGUGACAACUUAAGACAGUUGAAGUAAUUAUAAAAAUAAAUCUUGUAAUUUUGACCCUCAGGCAGAAAAAGCUAGCUUUAGAGCCAAAUCACCAGCAUCAUAUCCAAAGCUUUCUAUAGAGGAGGCACGAGUAUUUAGAGCUUCUUCCAUGUCAAAAUCACAGCAUAACCCAGUCUACCUGUUUCAGGAAAACAGCUCGAUUCCCAUCUUUUGGGCUUUUUGGAAAAAAAAUUUUUCAGGAAAUAAUCUAUUCAUCAACAGAGUUGUCUUACUCAAGCUUUGUUUGAUGGCCUUUCUUCCUUUUUUCAAACAGGGAUCCGACUUUGAAUAUCUUGGCUCCCUUGCCAAGGUUGUGUUGAAUUGUCAACGAAAUGGGGGAACCUUUUAACUUCUUCAAACCUCUAUUGGAUCAUUUCUUUGGCAACAUCAUCAUAUCUUUUGCAGCUCUCUCAGUGGAUCGUGUACCUGGGCAUUUGCACAAUUCAAAUUCCUAGCAGAAUGCUUAUGGAUAUUGAGUCGAGUAAAGAUUUGUUUGCUCUGCAAUCAAGAUUAUCCUUGUCAAGAUCAGAAAAAAAAGGCAAUUCGGUUUUCCACCUCUUCAUAUCCUGUAAGGGUUUAAUCACCCUUACAUAUGCUCUCCCUGAAUGACUGCAAAUGACUUGUUUCCAAGCAAGUCACUGUGCUUUUGAACUCAAAACAAAAAAAUCAAGUGAAUCAUUUGGUUGAGCACUUGGCACAUGUACACUAUUGGCUUACCACUUCCAGAGUAAAUUGUGCUUUGCCACUCAUUUGGGUGCUAUUAACAACAAGAUUGCAUAUUACAAGAUUCAAAGUUAAUGUUUUUUUACAAGUGCAAGUAUAAAAUGGAUUCAAAUAACUCUUUUCAGAUCUAGUGAGCAAAAAUGUAAGGAAGAACUUGAAUGAGAUACUAAGAUUAGAGAACUUAAUAGAAGCUGGAUAACCGAAUUCUGAACAAGGGUCUUCUAAACACAUGAACCCUUUAUAACGGAAUAAAGCUGGCAACAAAGGAAUCAAAGAAUAUAGAUGACAAACGAGUGAAAGACCACAAAAAGACCCUUGUCCAAAGUGAACAAUUGUCCAAAGUUGAUGAGAAAAAUAAACAAAAAAAACGUAAGAUAAAUGAAAAAAAUCAGAUACAAACAACAACAAGGAAGGAAGAAAAAAGAGUAAAGAUUAUGAUGUUAAUUAAAAUUGGGGGAAAUGAGGCGAUUCUCCCAUUUCCUAGACUCAAAAGUCUACCUCAAUGGAAUGAGUGGACAGAGUUUGAGAAAGACAAUGUAGAAAUAUGUGCCCACAGAGGAACAACAAGUGUUGAUAUGACUGUAAAAGGCAAACUAUCUGCUGGUAUCCCGUGCAACCAAGAAUUUAAAGGUACUAUGUCCUAAAGUCUUUCUCUGACCAUUUUCAUUUCCAUUGGUUAGAUUUGAAAGUAGUUUGUAAUACUUUACAUUAGACCUAUUGUUACAGAGCCAAAUUACUAAUCUACAAUGUUUUUUUUAAACUUUAAACACACUGCAAAGCCUAUUGUUAUCUCUGAAUGAUUGAUUGAUUGACCGGACGUAGUGCCUUGAACAAAAAAUGCCAAAGACUUGUACAAAGUUGCCAUCAAGUCAAUUGUUGUAUCUAGCUAUUCAUCUAACAAUCAGUCUAACAAUCAACCUAAUAACCUGUGUGAUCAAAAACAUUCUGAUGAUAAGAGCAAAAGUGAAGCAAUAUGGCCUAAAUGUACUAAGACUCCCAGAGCAUGAUCCGAUACCAGACGUUCGCCAGACGCUUGCCAGACGCCAGACGUUUUUAAGCAGCUUUGUCAAUGGUACAUUUUCAAUUUUAUUCAAGAGAUGUGAUAGACGGAGGAGGCAGGGAGACACAAAUUCGAAAGCAGGAAGACGUUUCUGAAUUUUUCCACUGCCUAAACAAGCUUCAAAUUGUAUCAAGUUUCUCCCUUGUUGCAUUGUCAGUACAACUCUACAUCACAUAAUCACAUUGCUUUUUUGUGCUAUGUUUGCACUUCCAGCGAGAAAUGUGUUUUAGCACUCAUUUUUCUGUUGGAAGCUUCACAUACUAUUUACAAUGAUGAAAUUGCAACUGCACAUCUGGGUGUUGGUAGAGCAACGAGUUUCCGUGUGGUUGUUAAAGCCACUAUCCACAUUACAAGUGUAAUUAUAACAUGGGUUCAAAUAACUCCUUUCAGAUUUGGUUGAGCAAAAACGUCUCAGGUAGCGCAAAAUUGCCAUUUUUGAUAAGAUACUGAGAUUAAAGACCCCAGGAGAAGAUAAAAUCCUCAAUGAAGGACAACUUCAUGCACCAUCUACCAUUUAAAAAUUGAAAGUACUAGUAAAUUGAAGUGAUUGCCCCUAGUGGUUGCCACCAGUCGAUGAAUGAAUGAAAUGCCAACAAUAAAUGAGUGACAUGCCUUUAUAAGCAAUUGUGUUAGAGGCUGAUGUAUGAUGUAUAUUUUUCUCAGUGCUAAUUGCAACUUUAGCAAGAGUAGCAAAAGUAAAGUGGUGCUCGUUGCAAAGUUGACUUAAAAACCAGAGCCGCUACGUUUUAUUUGCAAGCCAAGGGCUCUUUAUCAUAUCAAGAAAUUUCAAUUAAUUGUCAUUUACAACCAACUAGUACUGUUUGUAUUCACAAGGAAGCAUUGGCCAUAAAGAAGAAGAAGAGAAAACAGGCCAACCACAACCUAUAAGUAAAAGAGAAAAGCAGGGACUCCCGACAACAUUCCAGCAGUUAAAGAACCUUUGCUGACAGAACCUUUGUUCACAAAGAAAUUGAUAUUUCGAUUAAUGACAGAGAAGGAGAAAGCGAGCUUGAGGUAGGCAGACUUUCUUAGUAAAUUAUGCCCAGUUUCCUACUUAUUUGUAGAUUUUGCCGUAUUUCCUACUGGCCCCUUCUUGAUGUUGUUAGGCCCAGAGAGAUCAUGUCUGAAGACCAUGAACUGUGACGAAUAUUUCUUUAGGAAACAAUAUCACCCUCUGCUUUAUACUUUUUUGUGCUUUUUUUGCCAUUGGUGAUUAAAAUGUCGUGUUUUUUAACAGAGGCUUACUUGUGUAUGUAACACAACUUGUCUCAGGUGUCUCAGCCUUCCUACAUUCUUGACCGAGGUCCUAAACCUUAGACCGCUGCAGUGCCUAUUUAGGAUUUGCAAAGAGACUAUUUUCUGUCACAUGUCAAACUUUUCACUCCGGAAUCUUCCAACUGGAAAUACAACACUAUAAAUUAUGUCCAAAUCUGUUGAAUAUUUUAAUUUUAGCCAGGAUCUAUUGACCAAAUUGAGCGGGCAGCUGAAGGAAUGAUACAAGAUGGAGAUAUAAAUAUGGAACAAGAAACAAUUUAAGGAAAACAAAGAGUCAAGGUAUUGUUUUCUCCUCCCUUUUUCAACCCAUUGAGGAAACUCCUCCCUAAGAAAUUCAACUCCAUACACAUUAAGUGAUACUGUAUUAAGUUUAAUAAUGUCAUUUUUUUCAAUCCUUGUUAACUUCUCUGCAACUAAUUGGCUUGUAAAUAGUGGCUUGUUGAUUAAGAUUUAAGUUAGGGAUAUCAGUUUAGGGUCGUUUGGAACUCUGACAAGCCUUUCCACUGCUGUGUCUUUCUUUUCUUUAGUUUCAACAACAAUUUUUGCAAGGCAGUAUGGUAUAUAUUUAUAGCUUUCUGUUCCUUAACAGGUUCAGCAGUAAAUUUCCUAGAAUUUUUAUUGUAUUUUCUUUUAAAACACUGCUUGCCAUCGCAUGUGAGAGCCAAAGGUGGAUUUAAAUGUAUACUGUGGUCAAAAGCAGCCAAAGCCAUCGGUGUCUUGAAAUAUGGAUAGUCAUAUGCAUUUCUUUUAGAGGCAUACUUCAUCAGCAUACUGUUGACAUCUACAUCAUACCUGUAUGCCUGAACUUUGAAAAGUACGACAAGUUUGACAAAAGCUUUCUGUCAAGUACCACUGAUCUCAGCUAUUCCAAAGCGACAGAAUUCUUUAAGAGGUACACCUUUGGCUCAGCUGACGAGAGAGGGCCAUGCAAACAUUCAGAUUCCUUCCAUAUGUGUUCAUUGCAUACAUGAUGCAAAACACCAAUCCAAAUAUCUUUCAACUUUUCAGCGUCACCAUUGGAAACUUGACAAGCAAACAAAAAGUGGUUGACUAUUACAGCAAUCAAUGGUUUCGGUGAUUUUGCAGCUUUGUCUUGUGCUGUUUUGUGCAAUUUUUUAGAAAUAUUUUUGGCAGUAUGCCAAAUAUCAAGGCAGUGAUCUAGCCAGUUCAGGGUGUGAAUCUGAAAUGAAAAUAAUUCUUAAGAAUAUAAUUAAUUCUUAAAUUAUGAAUUCUUAAGUCCAAAAUAAACAUGGCAAGUUAGCAUUCAAUUGUUAAUAUAAAAAGAUUAAAAGUAUUAACAAUUGCAAUAAUGAACUAUGGAGAAAAGCCGCUGAUACAGCAGGAGGAAUCUGUUAGAUCUAGAUGAAUAUUGUAUCGGCCGGAAAACACGAGAAAGGCUUUCUUUCAUGGUUCAUUGGCAAUAACUAUAAGUUUUUUUCAAGUAACAUGUUUCAGAAUGGUUUAUUGAAC